GAUGAACGCUGGCGGCGUGCCUAAUACAUGCAAGUCGAGCGAACGGACUUGAAGCUUGCUUCUCUUAUGUUAGCGGCGGACGGGUGAGUAAUACGUGGAUAACCUACCUAUAAGACUGGGAUAACUUCGGGAAACCGGAGCUAAUACCGGAUACUAUUUUUAACCGCAUGGUUCUAAAUUGAAAGACGUUCUUUCUUUUACUUAUAGCUGACUCCGAGUUGCAUUAGAUAGUUGGUAAGGUAACGGCUUACCAAGGCAAGGAUGCAUAGCCGACGUGAUAGGGUGAUAGGCCACACUGGAACUGAGACAGGGACCAGACUCCUAAGGGAGGGAGCAGUAGGGAAUCUUACGCAAUGGGCGAAAGCAUGACGGAGCAAGGGGGCGUGAGUGAUGAAGGUCUUCGGAUAGUAAAACUCUGUUACUAGGGAAGAACAUAUGUGUAAGUAAAUGUGCAGAUAUUGACGGUACCUAAUCAGAAAGCCACGGCUAACUACGUG
RNAcentral lists this ribosomal RNA (497 nucleotides) under uncultured bacterium. Its description in RNAcentral is "partial 16S ribosomal RNA". It matches the Rfam family "Bacterial small subunit ribosomal RNA", at positions 28 to 507 of the family's 1533-position model. The record is from RNAcentral.